UGGCUCAGGACGAACGCUGGCGGCGUGCUUCAUACAUGCAAGUCGAACGAGAAGCUGACUUCGGUCAGUGGAAAGUGGCGGACGGGUGAGUAAUAUGUAGGAAAUCUGCCCUAGAGAGGGGGACAACAGAGGGAAACUUCUGCUAAUACCCCAUAUGAGCUUAGUUGAAAUACUAAUCUUGAAAACUCCGGUGCUCUAGGAUGAGCCUGCAUCUGAUUAGCUAGUUGGCGGUGUAAUGGACCACCAAGGCGACGAUCAGUAGCUGGUUUGAGAGGAUGAUCAGCCACAAUGGGACUGAGACACGGCCCAUACUCCUACGGGAGGCAGCAGUAGGGAAUUUUGCGCAAUGGGCGAAAAAGCCUGACGCAGCAACGCCGCGUGAACGAUUAAGCCCUUCGGGGUGUAAAGUUCUGUCAGUAGGGACGAAACUUGACGGUACCUACAGAGGAAGCACCGGCUAACUCCGUGCCAGCCGCCGC
This 479-nucleotide ribosomal RNA is filed under the name uncultured bacterium. RNAcentral's name for it is "bacterial SSU rRNA". It matches the Rfam family "Bacterial small subunit ribosomal RNA", at positions 20 to 518 of the family's 1533-position model. The record is from RNAcentral.